AUACGGAGGGUGCGAGCGUUAUUCGGAAUUACUGGGCGUAAAGCGCGUGCAGGCGGUUUGACAAGUCUGAUGUGAAAGCCCCGGGCUUAGCCUGGGAAGUGCAUUGGAAACUGUUGGACUUGAGUACUGGAGAGGAAGGGGGAAUUCCCGGUGUAGAGGUGAAAUUCGUAGAGAUCGGGAGGAAUACCAGUGGCGAAGGCGCCCUUCUGGACGGCUACUGACGCUGAGACGCGAAAGCGUGGGGAGCAAACAGGAUUAGAUACCCUGGUAGUCCACGCUGUAAACGAUGAGUGUUAGGUGUAGGGGGCUUGAAGCUUUCUGUGCCGCAGUAAACGCAAUAAACACUCCGCCUGGGGAGUACGGUCGCAAGACUAAA
This 376-nucleotide ribosomal RNA is filed under the name uncultured bacterium. RNAcentral describes it as "bacterial SSU rRNA". It matches the Rfam family "Bacterial small subunit ribosomal RNA", at positions 523 to 898 of the family's 1533-position model. The record is from RNAcentral.